This 329-nucleotide unclassified non-coding RNA is filed under the name soil metagenome. RNAcentral's name for it is "partial contains 5.8S ribosomal RNA, internal transcribed spacer 2, and large subunit ribosomal RNA". The stretch from base 1 to 120 matches the Rfam family "5.8S ribosomal RNA", at positions 35 to 154 of the family's 154-position model. The record is from RNAcentral.
GAUGAAGAACGUAGCGAAAUGCGAUAAGUAGUGUGAAUUGCAGAAUUCAGUGAAUCAUCGAAUCUUUGAACGCACAUUGUGCCCCUUGGUAUCCCGAGGGGCAUGCCUGUUCGAGCGUCAUUUCACCACUCAAGCCUGGCUUGGUGUUGGGCGACGUCCCCUUUGGGGACGCGCCUUGAAACGCUCGGCGGCGUGGCACCGGCUUUAAGCGUAGCAGAAUCUUUCGCUUUGGAAGUCGGGGCCCCGUCUGCCGGAAGACCUACUCGCAAGGUUGACCUCGGAUCAGGCAGGGAUACCCGCUGAACUUAAGCAUAUCAAUAAGCGGAGGA